This 202-nucleotide small nuclear RNA is filed under the name Castor canadensis (American beaver). RNAcentral's name for it is "U2 spliceosomal RNA (ENSCCNG00000027577.1)". It matches the Rfam family "U2 spliceosomal RNA". Rfam says of the family: U2 is a small nuclear RNA (snRNA) component of the spliceosome (involved in pre-mRNA splicing). Complementary binding between U2 snRNA (in an area lying towards the 5' end but 3' to hairpin I) and the branchpoint sequence (BPS) of the intron results the bulging out of an unpaired adenosine, on the BPS, which initiates a nucleophilic attack at the intronic 5' splice site, thus starting the first of two transesterification reactions that mediate splicing. Lineage: Eukaryota; Metazoa; Chordata; Mammalia; Rodentia; Castoridae. The record is from Rfam by way of RNAcentral.
AUCACUUUUUGGCCUUUCGGCUAAGACCAAGUGUAGUAUCUAUUCUUAUCAUCUUAAUAUCUGAUACAUCCUCUAUCUCAGGACAAUAUAUUAAGUGGCCCUUUAGAACAGGCUGAUGGGAGAUGGAACAAGAGAUUGCUUUGUUUCAAGCAUUGAGCUAUCAAUCUAGUAUUGGAGUACCUCCAGGAGUGGCACGUGCACA